UUCUCCCUUCCUUUUGUUUGAUUUUUUUUUCUUCUUCUUCUCUUGCUUUCUUUCCCUUGCUUUCUUUCCCCUAUUUUUCCAUGCCUUUUCACUCCUCUCCCUCUUUUCCUCUCUUUUCUCUCCCGCAGCGCCCACGGCAGAGCGGAGCGCGGUGCGGGAGCGGGGCGGAAUUUUGGAGCAGAUGAUGUGGUGAAAGGCAAAACCCUCCUGACAGAGCACCUGGCUGCCCUCCUGGCGUGGCUGGGCAGAGUUCUGGGGGACAGGGUUAAACUUUGCCCGGCACACGGAGCCUCAUUACCAUGACGCUGUCAUAGGACUGCAGCACUGCAGUCAGGCAGAGCCCGGCUCCAUCCCCGGCUCUGCUCCCAAACUCUGCUCCAGCCUCCCCCAUCAUCCACACAGCACAAGUUUCUGCUAAUUAAACAAACCUGCUUCAUUAAUUUUACUGAAAGUUUCUGCCAUAGGCACAAACCCCUUUGGAUUUCACUGGGGCUCAAAAUAAAAUUGCUGCCUAUCAGGGUGUUGUGUUUUGUUUCUUCUUAGGGUGAAAGAUAUAUUGUGAUCUGGUUUAUUAAUGGGUUUUGUUUCCCCCUGAUAAUAAAGACUGGGAGGUGGGAACAGAUUAUGGUUUUAUCCACAAGAAAAACUCACUGUGUAAGGAAACACAGAGUUAACAGAGGUGCUUGGGAGCUUUUAUUAUCCUUUUAAUCUCCUGAAUACAAGGACUGGCAGAUGGAACUUUGUAAUAAAAUUGCCUCUCAUUAAAUACCUUGGUGUUUGAAAUCCAUUUACCCCGUAUGUAAAAUAAAUUGUUGCUCUAUAAUCAGGCAGGGCUAGGUUUGAUUUAUUUAUUUAAUAGCGAUACCAAGCAAUGCAAACUUUUAUGGAACACAAUACAUCUCAUGGAUUGCUUUAAAGAUCAGGAUAUUUAGAAGCAGAAAAGUUGGCAUUCACUGAGGUGUUUAGCGCAGAAAUUCUGAAAUAAAAUUCAUUGUUUUAAUUGAAAACAA
This is a long non-coding RNA of Taeniopygia guttata (zebra finch), 1010 nucleotides long. RefSeq lists it as uncharacterized. Lineage: Eukaryota; Metazoa; Chordata; Aves; Passeriformes; Estrildidae. The record is from RefSeq and is a predicted model, not a curated record.